RNAcentral lists this long non-coding RNA (1491 nucleotides) under Cricetulus griseus (Chinese hamster). Its description in RNAcentral is "lncRNA (ENSCGRG00000025330.1)". Lineage: Eukaryota; Metazoa; Chordata; Mammalia; Rodentia; Cricetidae. The record is from RNAcentral.
CCCCCGCCCGCCGGCGGAGCACGGGUUCCACCCUAGGGAGCGUCUCAAAAGUGCGCGGUUCCCUCCCACUCCACCAGGCCUCUCUUCCAGCUUCCUGCAACCCGGAUCCCUGCCCCCUCUGCCUUCUCCCUUUGCGCGUCCCAGUAAUCUCAGCAGAUGGCCGCUGGGUCGAGAACAUCUGGAGAGUUCCUCUUUGCUGGCUCCAACCCGAAGCCAAAGGGCCUUGGAACCUAUUCAAGUCCGUCUCUGAGUGUACAGCAAGUUGGAGAGAGGAGGAGAGCUGGCCUGGAAGGACACGACCCACCCACCUCACACACUUCAUCUGCCCACCCCACACACGUUGUCUGUCUACCUUGCUUGUCUCUCCUGGCAUUACUGUGUCAGGCUCUGCUCUUGAGGAGAGGGGGAAAUGAUUGACUCUGGCAAAACAGAUGUGUUUGCACUCUACCUCUGUGGGAAGCUGUGCUCAGGGUGUUUGGGACGACAAGUGGGCCCAGCACUGCCCUUGACCUGCACAGGAGCCACUGCUUCUGUGCCCUGAGAGGCAAUCAAGGCUGUCGUCUCCUGUGCACAGCGACAGAACAGAUGUCAGAGAAGACAGACGCCUUCCAACCAAAAAGAAAAAAAAAAAUCCAUCUGCUGAAUUUUCGAACUGGCCAACAAAUCUUGAGAUUACGUGAAGCGUUGGAGACAGGAAACUGUAGUCUUGCUGAUGAAGGGCCCUGCGUGGACUCACCUGGGACUUGGGUAACUUCAUGACUAAACAAAGCCCCAGCAGCAAGGGACAAGCUACACAGCCUUUGGACUUCAGAGACCUGAGGUGUGGAGGUGGGGUGGGAUAGGGGGGCCAUUACCAGAAGCCUGACUUCAGUUUCAGCUCAACAGGGCACCCUUGAAGAAGCUGGACCUCCCUUGGGGCCUCAAGCCCGUGUUGCAUAGAGGUGCUGGGAUGUGGGGUUCUGAGGCUGAGGUGUCCUGGAGAAAACCACAGCACGUGUGCUCCCCACCCCUGUGUCCUCCCCCAGAGCAGUAGCUUGCCUCUGCUUGAAUGCCUACCCAACUUCUGAUUUCCUCCAGGACCUUAAGUUCCUUCCCUGCUUCCUCACUCUUAAUUAUCCUGUUCCCUUCCACCCUGACUUAAUUACGGAGCCCAUCUGAGCUCAUUAGCUCUGGCUGCUCAGACUUGCUGUGAGGUUAACGAUGCCAGCAGCACUCAUCUGAGGGUUCCAGGCUUGGUGGGGCCUCUGGGAGCCCACACUGGGAUCUGGGAGGGUGAGAGCUCUGCCCUUGUAAUACAUCCACCCCUACACUUGGAUUGUCUGACACCAGCAAUGCUUGAAGCUCACACAGCUAGGAUCUGAUGAGAUGGGAAUGGGGGAGAUUAGAUUCUUCGUGCUAUCUCAAGUCGUUGGGCUUUUUUAUUUGUUUGGGUUAGUAGUUUUUCUUUUCCAAUUUCCAGUUUCAGCUUUUUUUUUUUUUUUUUGAGACAGG